Astyanax mexicanus (Mexican tetra) is the source of this 546-nucleotide long non-coding RNA. RefSeq lists it as uncharacterized. NCBI's taxonomy places the organism in Eukaryota, Metazoa, Chordata, Actinopteri, Characiformes, Acestrorhamphidae. The transcript is spliced from 3 exons. The record is from RefSeq and is a predicted model, not a curated record.
UCGACCCACCAGCCGGAUCAGGAGAAAGAAAAGAAGACGACUGAAGCAAAGAUGAAAUCUCUAUCUGUAGCUGUUGUUGUGCUGCUGCUGGUCUUGUCUUUACACUGUGAGGACAGUGUGGUGGAGGGACAAUUAUGUAAUUUUGGAAGAGGUCAUUGUUUGGAUGCCUUUUCAUGCCGAAGACUUAAAAGAUUCCACGUUCUAACACGAUCAUGUGGUUUCGAAGUGUGUUGUCUUUUCAAAAGAAGAAGCACCGUGAACAUCCACAGCUGAGUGUUCCAUAACCCCAACCAAUAGGAACGCCUAUGGAAUCAAGAAUGAGGGAUGGGUUUUUGAACACUCCAGGUGCAGAAGAUAAAUAAUAAUGCUCAGUAAAUCAUAAAAUGUGUAUUAAAAAUGUACUCUAUUUGCUUGUUUACACAAUGUGAAAGAUUUGUCACCAUGGCAAGUUCAAGGUUUUGCUGUAAAUACAAUAAUGUAAAAUAAUGAUUUUGAUUCAUUUGCACUCUAUGUUGCCUAAUAUGUUUUCUGAUAUGUAAAAGCAAA